RNAcentral lists this long non-coding RNA (502 nucleotides) under Ananas comosus (pineapple). RNAcentral describes it as "long non-coding RNA (ACOM_LNC027458)". Lineage: Eukaryota; Viridiplantae; Streptophyta; Magnoliopsida; Poales; Bromeliaceae. The record is from RNAcentral.
UAAUUUUAUACAGCUCGUCAGCUCCCAGUAACAUAUCGAAUAGUAAAUAUAUAUUUCUAAAAAGUUCAACUUUUCAUCUUUAUCUCUGUAAAAGUUCAGUGAUAUUCAUAUUCGUCUCUCUAGUUUGUUACCGGUUGAAGUUCUGUUUUUUUUUUUAACAGAAUACGAGUGAAAUGGCAUUUUUUACAUUAGAAAUAUAUUGCUUCAAAAGUUUCAAUUGCUAGAAUUAUAAAAAAUAUAUAUUCUUCCAAAAAUUUUCAAUAAUCAUUUUCUUUCUUUCUAGUAUCACAAAUAAUACAAGAAGAGUAAAAAGAUUAAUUUACUUUAAUCACUAAUCAGGGUUAAGUAUUUUGUUUAUAAUUAACCAUAUUUUUCUAACGGAGAUGCUUACAGCGGAAGUAUAUUUAAAAAAUAUUAGAAUUUUUGUAUGAAUGAAUAUAAAAAAAUUAAACUUUAUAAAAAUAUAUUUGUUAUUCGAUAUUGGGAGUUGUAUACAAUUAAU